Long non-coding RNA from Megalobrama amblycephala (Wuchang bream), 1260 nucleotides. RefSeq lists it as uncharacterized. The transcript is spliced from 2 exons. Lineage: Eukaryota; Metazoa; Chordata; Actinopteri; Cypriniformes; Xenocyprididae. The record is from RefSeq and is a predicted model, not a curated record.
UCUCCAAAAUGCUUCUGUUAUCACUAUGCAAAACUAUCGUAAACUAUUCAUACAUCGUCAGUCCAAAAAUAUUGCAGUGCAUUUACAGAAGUGACAAAUGCAUUUUAAAACUGAAUCUCUAUAUGAAAAAUAGCUUGCUUUUUCAAAAUAUUUAAAAGUAAACCAAUGAAUUCACUCAAAAAAUUAAGGUAGUUGCAAGUGAAUUUACAUAAAUGAUGUACUGCAGUUACUAUAACAUAACAUAACAUAAAAUAAAAUAAUAUAUAAAUUGUUACUAACAAUAAUGUUAGCAUCUUUAUUCUUGAAGCGUGUUAAUGUUAGAAACUGUGUUUUAUGAAAAUGUCAACAUUCACAAUUUUGCAGAAAUGGAGUGACUUCUGUUUUCCGUACACAUGCAAAAAUAAAUGCAAUUGUCACUCCCAAAACCUCACUUAGUUAACCGCCACUUUAUUUAUAAAUAUUUUUAUAUAGAUAGUUUGUAGACAAAGCUAAAAAUCGCUCUCAUCCUGAAGUCUUCAUGUAUCUUACAACACAGCUUGUACAAUAUUGCGCCACAGUGGUAAAGAAAGGUCAGAGAUCCUGUUUUUGAUUCUUAAAACACUUUCAGAAAAGCAACGCAAAACUGAACGAGGUCAAAUAAUGGACUCCACCAAAAGAAAAAAGGAAAAGAAAAUGAAGGGAACAUAUAGUGCUGCUGAGGGAAAGCACGGGUUCUCUAACCUUUCUCCAUGUUGGGGACGGGGUCUUCGCGCAUCACUGGCGAGGUAAGAGAGAUGGUGACCUGCAUUUUUGGUUCCUUGCUUGAAAAAAUGACGAUGUUGGCUUCCUCAGGGUGUACCUGCACCUCAUACUGAUCUUCAGAAAAGGUCUGCCGGUUAAAAGGACACUUUGCAUUACUACAGAGGAGACGGCAGGGGCCCCGGGUAUAUGGGGUCUGUAUUUUGUCCCUCAUUUUCCCUGUGGUAUAUUGCCACACUCAAAGGCUUUGCUGAAUAUUGCACAAGAUAAAUGGUGAUGUAAAUGUAAAUGAAGUACACGCCCCAGUCUCUCUCUGUAGGUGUCGUAACCAGGCAGUGGAACUAAAGAUCAGUUAAAGAUACACGGACCACAACAGCAAGUAAAAAACUCAUUUAUUUGCAGUGAUUUUGAAAUAUAUAUGAGUGGAUCACACAAUAAAUGACCAAAAAUGUGUCUGGGUCAGAUUUCAUCCCAAAUAAGAAAUUAUAUACUGUAUCAAGUAAAUAAAGUAUGUUUUAUAAA